CAUUCAGGAGUACCAAACCAGGUUUGAAAGGUUAUCUAAUCAAACUCGUGAUUGGUCUGAAAAACAGCUAUUGGGGAUCUUUAUUGAGGGCUUAAAGCCGGAGAUCUGGGGAGAAGUUAAGGCGCAACAACCAUACACGCUUAUGGUAGCCAUCUCUUUCGCACGACUUCAAGAGGAGCGAUUGAACCAUGAAGCCCGGAGGACUAGGAUCACUCCUCGACCUACAAUACUAAAGCCCUCAGCUCCCCCAACUAUCAAC
RNAcentral lists this long non-coding RNA (259 nucleotides) under Musa acuminata (dwarf banana). Its description in RNAcentral is "long non-coding RNA (MACU_LNC003390)". Lineage: Eukaryota; Viridiplantae; Streptophyta; Magnoliopsida; Zingiberales; Musaceae. The record is from RNAcentral.